UUAAGCGACUAAGCGUACACGGUGGAUGCCCUGGCAGUCAGAGGCGAUGAAGGACGUGCUAAUCUGCGAAAAGCGUCGGUAAGGUGAUAUGAACCGUUAUAGCCGGCGAUGUCCGAAUGGGGAAACCCAGUGUGAUUCGUCACACUAUCGUUAACUGAAUACAUAGGUUAACGAGGCGAACCGGGGGAACUGAAACAUCUAAGUACCCCGAGGAAAAGAAAUCAACCGAGAUUCCCCCAGUAGCGGCGAGCGAACGGGGAGCAGCCCAGAGUCUGAAUCAGCUUGUGUGUUAGUGGAACGGUCUGGAAAGUCCGACGGUACAGGGUGAUAGUCCCGUACACCAAAAUGCACAGGCUGUGAACUCGAAGAGUAGGGCGGGACACGUGGUAUCCUGUCUGAAUAUGGGGGGACCAUCCUCCAAGGCUAAAUACUCCUGACUGACCGAUAGUGAACCAGUACCGUGAGGGAAAGGCGAAAAGAACCCCGGCGAGGGGAGUGAAAAAGAACCUGAAACCGUGUACGUACAAGCAGUGGGAGCCUCUUUAUGGGGUGACUGCGUACCUUUUGUAUAAUGGGUCAGCGACUUAUAUUCUGUAGCAAGGUUAACCGUAUAGGGGAGCCGCAGGGAAACCGAGUCUUAACUGGGCGUUAAGUUGCAGGGUAUAGACCCGAAACCCGGUGAUCUAGCCAUGGGCAGGUUGAAGGUUGGGUAACACUAACUGGAGGACCGAACCGACUAAUGUUGAAAAAUUAGCGGAUGACUUGUGGCUGGGGGUGAAAGGCCAAUCAAACCGGGAGAUAGCUGGUUCUCCCCGAAAGCUAUUUAGGUAGCGCCUCGUGAACUCAUCUUCGGGGGUAGAGCACUGUUUCGGCUAGGGGGUCAUCCCGACUUACCAACCCGAUGCAAACUACGAAUACCGAAGAAUGUUAUCACGGGAGACACACGGCGGGUGCUAACGUCCGUCGUGAAGAGGGAAACAACCCAGACCGCCAGCUAAGGUCCCAAAGUCAUGGUUAAGUGGGAAACGAUGUGGGAAGGCCCAGACAGCCAGGAUGUUGGCUUAGAAGCAGCCAUCAUUUAAAGAAAGCGUAAUAGCUCACUGGUCGAGUCGGCCUGCGCGGAAGAUGUAACGGGGCUAAACCAUGCACCGAAGCUGCGGCAGCGACACUAUGUGUUGUUGGGUAGGGGAGCGUUCUGUAAGCCUGCGAAGGUGACCUGUGAGGGUUGCUGGAGGUAUCAGAAGUGCGAAUGCUGACAUAAGUAACGAUAAAGCGGGUGAAAAGCCCGCUCGCCGGAAGACCAAGGGUUCCUGUCCAACGUUAAUCGGGGCAGGGUGAGUCGACCCCUAAGGCGAGGCCGAAAGGCGUAGUCGAUGGGAAACAGGUUAAUAUUCCUGUACUUGGUGUUACUGCGAAGGGGGGACGGAGAAGGCUAUGUCAUCCGGGCGACGGUUGUCCCGGUUUAAGCAUGUAGGCUGGUUAUCCAGGCAAAUCCGGAUAAUCAAGGCUGAGGUGUGAUGACGAGGUACCACGGUACUGAAGUGACAGAUGCCCUGCUUCCAGGAAAAGCCUCUAAGCAUCAGGUAACAUCAAAUCGUACCCCAAACCGACACAGGUGGUCAGGUAGAGAAUACCAAGGCGCUUGAGAGAACUCGGGUGAAGGAACUAGGCAAAAUGGUGCCGUAACUUCGGGAGAAGGCACGCUGGUGUGUAGGUGAAGUCCCUGCGGAUGGAGCUGAGACCAGUCGAAGAUACCAGCUGGCUGCAACUGUUUAUUAAAAACACAGCACUGUGCAAACACGAAAGUGGACGUAUACGGUGUGACGCCUGCCCGGUGCCGGAAGGUUAAUUGAUGGGGUUAUCCGUAAGGAGAAGCUCUUGAUCGAAGCCCCGGUAAACGGCGGCCGUAACUAUAACGGUCCUAAGGUAGCGAAAUUCCUUGUCGGGUAAGUUCCGACCUGCACGAAUGGCGUAAUGAUGGCCAGGCUGUCUCCACCCGAGACUCAGUGAAAUUGAACUCGCUGUGAAGAUGCAGUGUACCCGCGGCAAGACGGAAAGACCCCGUGAACCUUUACUAUAGCUUGACACUGAACAUUGAGCCUUGAUGUGUAGGAUAGGUGGGAGGCUUUGAAGCGUGGACGCCAGUCUGCGUGGAGCCAACCUUGAAAUACCACCCUUUAAUGUUUGAUGUUCUAACGUUGGCCCCUUAUCGGGGUUGCGGACAGUGUCUGGUGGGUAGUUUGACUGGGGCGGUCUCCUCCCAAAGCGUAACGGAGGAGCACGAAGGUUAGCUAAUCCUGGUCGGACAUCAGGAGGUUAGUGCAAUGGCAUAAGCUAGCUUGACUGCGAGCGUGACGGCGCGAGCAGGUGCGAAAGCAGGUCAUAGUGAUCCGGUGGUUCUGAAUGGAAGGGCCAUCGCUCAACGGAUAAAAGGUACUCCGGGGAUAACAGGCUGAUACCGCCCAAGAGUUCAUAUCGACGGCGGUGUUUGGCACCUCGAUGUCGGCUCAUCACAUCCUGGGGCUGAAGUAGGUCCCAAGGGUAUGGCUGUUCGCCAUUUAAAGUGGUACGCGAGCUGGGUUUAGAACGUCGUGAGACAGUUCGGUCCCUAUCUGCCGUGGGCGCUGGAGAAUUGAGGGGGGCUGCUCCUAGUACGAGAGGACCGGAGUGGACGCAUCACUGGUGUUCGGGUUGUCAUGCCAAUGGCACUGCCCGGUAGCUAAAUGCGGAAGAGAUAAGUGCUGAAAGCAUCUAAGCACGAAACUUGCCCCGAGAUGAGUUCUCCCUGAGACUAUAAGUCUCCUGAAGGAACGUUGAAGACGACGACGUUGAUAGGCCGGGUGUGUAAGCGCAGCGAUGCGUUGAGCUAACCGGUACUAAUGAACCGUGAGGCUUAACCU
Molecule: ribosomal RNA, 2900 nt
Filed under: Klebsiella quasivariicola
Lineage: Bacteria; Pseudomonadati; Pseudomonadota; Gammaproteobacteria; Enterobacterales; Enterobacteriaceae
Description: 23S ribosomal RNA
Rfam family: Bacterial large subunit ribosomal RNA
Source: RNAcentral